Long non-coding RNA from Numida meleagris (helmeted guineafowl), 547 nucleotides. RefSeq lists it as uncharacterized. The record is from RefSeq and is a predicted model, not a curated record. The transcript is spliced from 3 exons. Lineage: Eukaryota; Metazoa; Chordata; Aves; Galliformes; Numididae.
CCACAUUCCUGCUGUCAUGAGGACUGUACUUAGUCACCAUAUGUGCUAUCAUGAGUAAAGUACUUCCUUGUUCUGCUCCUAUUCACUUAUUCAACCCAUUGAGCAAACCAAUGUGAGAGGCUGCACAUCAGUAUUCAAGACGCAACACGAGGAGCUGCGGGAAGGAGCCUGUUGCAGCAAGGAGCGGGGACAGGGAGUGCUUUCCCAGGGGCGAUUCCUGUGUGCCCUGCCCCAGCCCCUGCCCUCUGGGGUCACUGGCUGAGAUGACCAGGCACGCAGUGCUGGAGCAGGGCACCUUCGAGGAGAACCGAAACAGUCUGAGAAGAGCAAAGACAUAGUUUUUGUCCCCUGCAAGAGGAAACGAUGGAACAAUUGAGACAACAUCAGCACGUUGGAGUUGGGAAAUGUAUAAUAAAAACAUCUCUGGGAAAAGCUCUGCAUUUUUGUCUGGGUAUUUCAAAAGAGCUCAAUAACACAUCUAGAUAUGCAAAGAAAAAUGUUUUUUAAAUUAUUUUUUAAUAAUUAAAAAGACACAGAUUUAUUUGUU